GUAGUCCACGCCGUAAACGGUGGGCACUAGAUGUGGGGCUCUUUCCAUGAGUUCCGCGUCGCAGCUAACGCAUUAAGUGCCCCGCCUGGGGAGUACGGCCGCAAGGCUAAAACUCAAAGGAAUUGACGGGGGCCCGCACAAGCGGCGGAGCAUGCGGAUUAAUUCGAUGCAACGCGAAGAACCUUACCAAGGCUUGACAUAUACCCUCUAUCCCUGGAGACAGGGAGUGCUUCGGCGGGGUAUACAGGUGGUGCAUGGUUGUCGUCAGCUCGUGUCGUGAGAUGUUGGGUUAAGUCCCGCAACGAGCGCAACCCUUGCCCCUAGUUGCCAGCAGGUGAAGCUGGGGACUCUAGGGGGACAGUCGGCGAUAAGCCGGAGGAAGGUGGGGAUGACGUCAAGUCCUCAUGGCCCUUACAUCCCGGGCUACACACGUGCUACAAUGGCCGGUACAACGGGUAGCGAUACUGUGAAGUGGAGCCAAUCCCUAAAAACCGGUCUCAGUUCGGAUUGCAGUCUGCAACUCGACUGCAUGAAGUCGGAAUCGCUAGUAAUCGCGGAUCAGCUCGCCGCGGUGAAUACGUUCCCGGGCCUUGUACACACCGCCCGUCACGCCAUGGAAGUCGGCAGUACCCGAAGCCGGUGUCCUAAUCCAUUAGGAAAGGAGCUGUCGAAGGUAAGGCCGGUGACUGGGGCG
This 694-nucleotide ribosomal RNA is filed under the name uncultured bacterium. Its description in RNAcentral is "bacterial SSU rRNA". It matches the Rfam family "Bacterial small subunit ribosomal RNA", at positions 790 to 1482 of the family's 1533-position model. The record is from RNAcentral.